This 118-nucleotide non-coding RNA is filed under the name Kiritimatiella glycovorans. Its description in RNAcentral is "FMN sequence". It matches the Rfam family "FMN riboswitch aptamer (RFN element)". Rfam says of the family: The RFN element is a highly conserved domain that is found frequently in the 5'-untranslated regions of prokaryotic mRNAs that encode for flavin mononucleotide (FMN) biosynthesis and transport proteins. This element is a metabolite-dependent riboswitch that directly binds FMN in the absence of proteins. In Bacillus subtilis, the riboswitch most likely controls gene expression by causing premature transcription termination within the 5' untranslated region of the ribDEAHT operon and precluding access to the ribosome-binding site of ypaA mRNA. Lineage: Bacteria; Pseudomonadati; Kiritimatiellota; Kiritimatiellia; Kiritimatiellales; Kiritimatiellaceae. The record is from Rfam by way of RNAcentral.
UCGCGACUUCAGGAUAGGGUGCGAUUCCCGACCGGCGGUGAAAGCCCGCGACUCCCGAGAGGGACUGACGCAGUGAGAUUCUGCGGCCGACAGUAAAGUCUGGAUGGUAGAAGCGCGG